ACAUGCUUCAGCCAUGGUGGU
This 21-nucleotide non-coding RNA is filed under the name Arabidopsis thaliana (thale cress). The record is from RNAcentral. Lineage: Eukaryota; Viridiplantae; Streptophyta; Magnoliopsida; Brassicales; Brassicaceae.